UUAGCGACUAAGCGUACACGGUGGAUGCCCUGGCAGUCAGAGGCGACGAAGGACGUGCUAAUCUGCGAAAAGCGCCGGCGAGGUGAUAUGAACCUUUGACCCGGCGAUGUCCGAAUGGGGAAACCCAGUGUGAUUCGUCACACUAUCGUUAACUGAAUACAUAGGUUAACGAGGCGAACCGGGGGAACUGAAACAUCUAAGUACCCCGAGGAAAAGAAAUCAACCGAGAUUCCCCCAGUAGCGGCGAGCGAACGGGGAGCAGCCCGGAGUCUGAAUCAGCUUGUGUGUUAGUGGAACGGUCUGGAAAGUCCGACGGUACAGGGUGAUAGUCCCGUACACGAAAAUGCACAGGCUGUGAACUCGAAGAGUAGGGCGGGACACGUGGUAUCCUGUCUGAAUAUGGGGGGACCAUCCUCCAAGGCUAAAUACUCCUGACUGACCGAUAGUGAACCAGUACCGUGAGGGAAAGGCGAAAAGAACCCCGGCGAGGGGAGUGAAAAAGAACCUGAAACCGUGUACGUACAAGCAGUGGGAGCCUYUUUAUGGGGUGACUGCGUACCUUUUGUAUAAUGGGUCAGCGACUUAUAUUCUGUAGCAAGGUUAACCGUAUAGGGGAGCCGAAGGGAAACCGAGUCUUAACUGGGCGUUAAGUUGCAGGGUAUAGACCCGAAACCCGGUGAUCUAGCCAUGGGCAGGUUGAAGGUUGGGUAACACUAACUGGAGGACCGAACCGACUAAUGUUGAAAAAUUAGCGGAUGACCUGUGGCUGGGGGUGAAAGGCCAAUCAAACCGGGAGAUAGCUGGUUCUCCCCGAAAGCUAUUUAGGUAGCGCCUCGUGAACUCAUCUUCGGGGGUAGAGCACUGUUUCGGCUAGGGGGCCAUCCCGGCUUACCAACCCGAUGCAAACUGCGAA
RNAcentral lists this ribosomal RNA (913 nucleotides) under Pantoea sp. RNAcentral describes it as "partial 23S ribosomal RNA". It matches the Rfam family "Bacterial large subunit ribosomal RNA", at positions 1 to 961 of the family's 2925-position model. The record is from RNAcentral. Lineage: Bacteria; Pseudomonadati; Pseudomonadota; Gammaproteobacteria; Enterobacterales; Erwiniaceae. RNAcentral also lists the same sequence under 1 other name.